UUAUUUGAAACAGGAUACAACCUCCAACACCGGGUAAAUUUUAGUGAUCUAAAUAAAGUGGGCCUAAAAGCAGCCACCUUUUAAAAAGCGUCAUAGCUUAAUUUCUAUCACACCCCAAUUCAUUAAAUCCCUUUCAACCCUUCACCAGUACUGAACUGUUUUAUAUUUUUAUAAAAAUAAUUAUGCUAGAACUAGUAACAAGAAAUUUGCCCUUCUCCAAAUUGCAAGUAUAAAUCAAAACGACACCCCAAUGAUAAUUAACGUAAAUACAUAAAAUAUAGUAACAUAUAUCUAGAAAAUUCUAUAACCUCAGACGUUAACCUUACACCAGAGCACUACAGGAAAGAUUAAAAGAGAAAGAAGGAACUCGGCAAACUUCAGCCCCGCCUGUUUACCAAAAACAUCGCCUCUUGAUUCCCAUAAGAGGUCCAGCCUGCCCAGUGACAUAAAGUUCAACGGCCGCGGUAACCUAACCGUGCAAAGGUAGCAUAAUCACUUGUUCUCUAAAUAGGGACUUGUAUCAACGGCACCACGAGGGCUAUACUGUCUCCUUUCUCCAAUCAGUGAAACUGAUCUCCCCGUGAAGAAGCGGGGAUUUUUUU
This 602-nucleotide ribosomal RNA is filed under the name Hylarana nigrovittata (black-striped frog). Its description in RNAcentral is "Sylvirana nigrovittata (black-striped frog) partial 16S ribosomal RNA". The stretch from base 345 to 594 matches the Rfam family "Archaeal large subunit ribosomal RNA", at positions 1787 to 2143 of the family's 2987-position model. Lineage: Eukaryota; Metazoa; Chordata; Amphibia; Anura; Ranidae. The record is from RNAcentral.